This 210-nucleotide ribosomal RNA is filed under the name uncultured bacterium. RNAcentral's name for it is "partial 16S ribosomal RNA". It matches the Rfam family "Bacterial small subunit ribosomal RNA", at positions 1290 to 1500 of the family's 1533-position model. The record is from RNAcentral.
AGUUCAGAUUGCAGGCUGCAACCCGCCUGCAUGAAGUCGGAAUUGCUAGUAAUCGCGGAUCAGCAUGCCGCGGUGAAUACGUUCCCGGGCCUUGUACACACCGCCCGUCACACCAUGGGAGCCGGUAAUACCCGAAGUCAGUAGUCCAACCACGUGAGGACGCUGCCGAAGGUAGGAUUGGCGACUGGGGUGAAGUCGUAACAAGGUAGC